CCAGAAAAUGUACUCAUGAAAUAUUCUUACCUGGGAUUGUCCGUCUCAACUGUUCACACCCAUGCUUUUGGACAUUAUAAGCAGGUGAGUGAUCAGUAUAUACGUGUCUGAUGAACAUUCUCAAAAAACAAAUAUACGUUUCCGACGAACCAGUGGCAUUUCACAAUUCACUUUGAAGCUGUGAAACUUCUUUGUGGCCAAGGGCCAUGCAAUUACAUUUUGCCAGUUUAUGAGAACCAAUGCCGAUGGAGUGCAUGAUGAAGCAGAGAUCAUUUGUAUUGUCGUCAACAAGUCUAUUGAUAUGUUCGAAGGGAAAAACAUGGAUAUGAAGAUAUCAUUUCACUGACCUUGCCUUCCUUUACAUGGAUAUGAAGAUAUCAUUUCACUGACCUUGCCUUCCUUUACAUGGAUAUGAAGAUAUCAUUUCACUGACCUUGCCUUCCUUUACAUGGAUAUGAAGAUAUCAUUUCACUGACCUUGCCUUCCUUUACAUGGAUAUGAAGAUAUCAUUUCACUGACCUUGCCUUCCUUUACAUGGAUAUGAAGAUAUCAUUUCACUGACCUUGCCUUCCUUUACAUGGAUAUGAAGAUAUCAUUUCACUGACCUUGCCUUCCUUUACAUGGAUAUGAAGAUAUCAUUUCACUGACCUUGCCUUCCUUUACAUGGAUAUGAAGAUAUCAUUUCACUGACCUUGCCUUCCUUUACAUGGAUAUGAAGAUAUCAUUUCACUGACCUUGCCUUCCUUUACAUGGAUAUGAAGAUAUCAUUUCACUGACCUUGCCUUCCUUUACAUGGAUAUGAAGAUAUCAUUUCACUGACCUUGCCUUCCUUUACAUGGAUAUGAAGAUAUCAUUUCACUGACCUUGCCUUCCUUUACAUGGAUAUGAAGAUAUCAUUUCACUGACCUUGCCUUCCUUUACAUGGAUAUGAAGAUAUCAUUUCACUGACCUUGCCUUCCUUUACAUGGAUAUGAAGAUAUCAUUUCACUGACCUUGCCUUCCUUUACAUGGAUAUGAAGAUAUCAUUUCACUGACCAGUGUUGUGAGGCGCUCGCCUUUCACCUUUGGCGAUAAGGCGAGGCGAGGUGAGGCACUUUCGCAUAUUUGCCUCGAGGUGAGGCG
Molecule: long non-coding RNA, 1122 nt
Filed under: Solanum tuberosum (potato)
Lineage: Eukaryota; Viridiplantae; Streptophyta; Magnoliopsida; Solanales; Solanaceae
Description: long non-coding RNA (STUB_LNC004607)
Source: RNAcentral